Molecule: ribosomal RNA, 534 nt
Filed under: Staphylococcus aureus
Lineage: Bacteria; Bacillati; Bacillota; Bacilli; Caryophanales; Staphylococcaceae
Description: partial 23S ribosomal RNA
Rfam family: Bacterial large subunit ribosomal RNA
Source: RNAcentral
UAAGGGCGCACGGUGGAUGCCUUGGCACUAGAAGCCGAUGAAGGACGUUACUAACGACGAUAUGCUUUGGGGAGCUGUAAGUAAGCUUUGAUCCAGAGAUUUCCGAAUGGGGAAACCCAGCAUGAGUUAUGUCAUGUUAUCGAUAUGUGAAUACAUAGCAUAUCAGAAGGCACACCCGGAGAACUGAAACAUCUUAGUACCCGGAGGAAGAGAAAGAAAAUUCGAUUCCCUUAGUAGCGGCGAGCGAAACGGGAAGAGCCCAAACCAACAAGCUUGCUUGUUGGGGUUGUAGGACACUCUAUACGGAGUUACAAAGGACGACAUUAGACGAAUCAUCUGGAAAGAUGAAUCAAAGAAGGUAAUAAUCCUGUAGUCGAAAAUGUUGUCUCUCUUGAGUGGAUCCUGAGUACGACGGAGCACGUGAAAUUCCGUCGGAAUCUGGGAGGACCAUCUCCUAAGGCUAAAUACUCUCUAGUGACCGAUAGUGAACCAGUACCGUGAGGGAAAGGUGAAAAGCACCCCGGAAGGGGAGUG